This 465-nucleotide ribosomal RNA is filed under the name Vreelandella stevensii. RNAcentral describes it as "partial 16S ribosomal RNA". It matches the Rfam family "Bacterial small subunit ribosomal RNA", at positions 338 to 795 of the family's 1533-position model. Lineage: Bacteria; Pseudomonadati; Pseudomonadota; Gammaproteobacteria; Oceanospirillales; Halomonadaceae. The record is from RNAcentral.
CCUAUGUGGCGCUGCAGUGGGGAAUAUUGGACAAUGGGCGAAAGCCUGAUCCAGCCAUGCCGCGUGUGUGAAGAAGGCCUUCGGGUUGUAAAGCACUUUCAGUGGGGAAGAAAGCCUUGGGGCUAAUACCCUCGAGGAAGGACAUCACCCACAGAAGAAGCACCGGCUAACUCCGUGCCAGCAGCCGCGGUAAUACGGAGGGUGCGAGCGUUAAUCGGAAUUACUGGGCGUAAAGCGCGCGUAGGCGGUCUGAUAAGCCGGUUGUGAAAGCCCCGGGCUCAACCUGGGAACGGCAUCCGGAACUGUCAGGCUAGAGUGCAGGAGAGGAAGGUAGAAUUCCCGGUGUAGUGGUGAAAUGCGUAGAGAUCGGGAGGAAUACCAGUGGCGAAGGCGGCCUUCUGGACUGACACUGACGCUGAGGUGCGAAAGCGUGGGUAGCAAACAGGAUUAGAUACCCGUGUAGUC